RNAcentral lists this long non-coding RNA (1702 nucleotides) under Salmo trutta (river trout). RNAcentral's name for it is "lncRNA (ENSSTUG00000047855.1)". Lineage: Eukaryota; Metazoa; Chordata; Actinopteri; Salmoniformes; Salmonidae. The record is from RNAcentral.
AUGGAGAGGUGCCAGGGGGAAAGGCACAAAGCAUCUGGUAUAUGGUUGAGUGGUGAGGUUGCUGGGGCCCAUUUAGAGUCUAAAAUGGGAGUCCGGUUUGGGCGAACUCGACCGACCUUGCUUAAGCCCAGAGAACCGGUUUCUGAAUGUAUUGCUAAGGACCUGAAGUUGACAGUGUGGCGGAUGCUACGUUGCAUUCUGUCAAACCGCCUUGCCAUCGCCACAACCUGGACUGAGGCAGAGCAUAAGGCCUGUUUCAGGGACUUGUUUCUGAAGACCAUUCUUCACAAAGCCAUUUGGAAAAACCUGCAACCCAGGAUGCCAUGGAUAAAAGGGUCCAGAUUCAGGUCAACCUUUUGCUGAAAGAGGCCUCCGAUUGUGAAGGUGGGAGAAGGCGGUGCACAGGGGAGAGGGAUCCGCUGCAGUGAGAGUCAGCAUCAAGUCUCGGACCACCUAUCUCAAAACCAGCCUCUACUCCCAAGCCACAAGACUGAUCCAACAGCUGAACCCUGGGCUGACUCCUGCACCUUACCACACACUUACCAUUUAGUCAUAUUCUGUACACAUAAAUCACUUUAGUCUACCGGACCAAUGAAGUAGUUAUGUCAACUGCACUAUGUAGAUAUACUAUCAUUAUAAUUCUAUGCUGCUACUGCAUUGUAGUUAUUCCACUCUAUGGGCAAAACAUUUCCAUACUAUAUGAAUAUAGGCUAUUUUGGUUUUAUCUUAAGGCUGUUUUUGUUUUAUCUUAUUCUUAUUUAUAUCUUAUAUCUUUUUUUGAUCUGCAUGCUUCUUUUGUACAUGUUUUUAUUGUUCUAUUGUUAGUAGGUCACACAGGAAAGGAAUCAAAUAAUUGACAUUGUACAUUUUACAAUGUCACUUAUUUGAUUCCAUUACAAUGUCACAUUAAUUACUGUGUGAGGAGCAUGUCAAUCAUUUUUUGUUGUUAUUGAUUUUACUGGAUUUAUUUGUCAUCACCUGUUGAUCCAGGGAACCAGGACUAGCCCUCAUUACCUGAUAUAUUUUGCACACACAUAAUCAUUUACAGUACUUGUUAGUACUCAUUGGAAAUCACAAUUCGUUUUUCAAAUGGACAUGGCAUCCAACGUAUCUUAAAUAAUAAAAGUCAAUAAAUAAAUAAGCGGUGAAAGGGAGUAGGCACGCUGCUGUCUUGACGCUGACAAAGCACCUUGCCUCCGACUUUCAGCUGUACUGUCGCCAGUCGGAAGAAGGACAGGUGAAGGAUGGGGUGGGCUGUGUGAGGAAAACAGCACUUGAACAGCAGGAGCACGGCUGCCGCUUGACAAAGUGGCAUAUCGCGGCCGCCCCAUGAAUGAGGCGAUUGGCAAAAAAGCUGUCGUACGACCACUCGGGAGGGAUGCCGGCCUCCCGAUUGCUCAUUGCGAACUCGGUAGCAAAGUGCAAAGAAAUGUCAAUUCUGGUCAGGGGGAGUUCCCGCUUGAAUUUGGUUAAAAGGGCAGUGAAUUCGCUCAUACUUUGAGAACUUGUUAGCAAGCUCCUGAGACACAUAAUUUUUCUCUCAGAGAUUAUUAACUGAAGACACGUGUAACUACUUUAAGUCUUAUUUAGUGAUAAUCAUUUACUCUGUGUUAUUCUGUAAUGUUUCAUGUAUUUCAUGUACACUGUAAUAGUUUGAGUGUAAAUUAUUUCAUGACUAAUAAAUCCUAUUAGUGAGUGAAUG